GCAAGGGAUUGCUCAGUUGGUUAGACUGUGGUGCUUAUAAUGCCAAGGUUGCGGGUUCAAUCCCUUUAUGGGACUGCUGCA
Podarcis lilfordi (Lilford's wall lizard) is the source of this 81-nucleotide non-coding RNA. The record is from the annotation of a GenBank genome assembly. Lineage: Eukaryota; Metazoa; Chordata; Lepidosauria; Squamata; Lacertidae.